Long non-coding RNA from Cavia porcellus (domestic guinea pig), 8912 nucleotides. RefSeq lists it as uncharacterized. The record is from RefSeq and is a predicted model, not a curated record. The transcript has 4 exons. Lineage: Eukaryota; Metazoa; Chordata; Mammalia; Rodentia; Caviidae.
AGGGAAUCGUCACUGCAGAUUGCUGCCACCGGUGCCCAGCAGUUCUUCAGUGCUUCCAGCCUGCUUUGGGCAGAAUGGGUUCCAGCCCUCUAAGGAAGUCUCCAGUGGAAGAGAUUCAAACACUCACAUUUGCAGGUUGGGGAAAAUGAGCUUUGAUAGCAGGAGAAUAAAUCAAAGUGUCACAGUGACUGGAGAGCAUCAAAAGGUCUCCAGCAUGUUGGAGGGGAAUAGUGGAAGAUUUCUAAGAACUAUUUUUAACAAAUAUAAGUGCCACAAUAUUUUGAAGUCACCUUCUCAAGCACAUUGAUGAUAAUCUGCUUGGCAUCAGCAAUGUGUCAUUGUCCCUAGUGCUGUCCAGGCGACGUUGCCGUGUUAACCGCAGGAAGUGUAUGGGGAUCAGAGAAGCAAGCUCCCAGUUCAGCAUUUUUCAAGAGAGGGUUCCAAGCACCCUGGAAAGGAGCCUCCUAGGCCUGGAUCUUGGGAAGGGUGCCUUUUGCAGGUCUUUUUGCAAAAAGGCAACAGAUUAAGCAGUGGAUCAAAAUAUAAGUGAAAGACUUGUCUACCAAGUUAAAAAGCAAAAAAGAUCUGAACUGAAAUAAAAAUAGCUCCAACCCAGAGAUCAAGAGGACUAUUUUGUUCAAGGAAAGAAUAGAAGUGGUCCGCUUACACUCCGCCAAGCCACUAGCUUCAAGUGCAUCAUUGUGCCAACAGCAGAGGGUAUGAAAGGCUUCAUUAUUAAGAAGUUAAUGCUUGACAGCAGCCGACUCCACCACAGCAAAAUUACUCGCCUCAGAAAGACUGCCUCCUAUGAGUCUUGGGUUAAUUACUCAAAUCUCCAAAUUAUCCUUUGGGGAACAAAAUGAAGCAUGCGGAAUCAAAAGCAGAUCUGUAGCGGAGAUUAUGAAAAAGGCGAGUUUCUUUCCAUUAAAAACAAAUGAUUAUUUCUAUUGGAGGAACCACAAGAAGAAAAGGAGGAGGGGGCACCUGACCAUGUACCAAGCAGGCCCUAAAUGGCUGGCAGCUCAACAGCCCCAGGAAAAAACAAAUUCUGCCCAUAUAAAUACUCAUAGGCGGUGUUGCCUAAAUUCCCAAACAAGUUACCCCCAACUCAAAUUGCUUAAGAAUGGGAGGUUAAAAUGGAGACACCCUAAGUCUUGUCAGACUAUUUUCUCUAGUUUCUAUUUUCUAAAUUAUCUGCACUAAAUCAGACCCCUGAGAGUCAAAUACUCUCUUCAUAUAUACAGAUAUUUAUUUCUUAAUCUUACUUCUCAUUUUAGGGAGCAAAUUUUUUAAAUAGUCUUGGUUGAGAAUCACCACCAUCACCUGAUUGUCAGAGGCUCUCAAAACUUUCUGAGAUGUUUCUGAGAUGAUUCUUAGGAGGCAGCAGGCUUCACAAAUUAUUAAAACAAAAUUGACUUAAAAUUUGGUAUUUUCUUUAGAAUGAUAAUUUAAAUUUUUAUUUUUAUCCAUUUGUUUCCUCCUAUCUUUGGUGAUUUGCAUGGUUUAACAAUUCUUUUGGAAGAAGGUCUCAAGUGUUUUAAGUCAGUAUUUCUCACACAAGAGUGUAUGAACUUACUCUCAACAAUAGGAGAAACUUUUAUUUCUUUUUAAAAAGCCUUAUAGUUCACAAGUUUUUGAAAUUGAAUUACAAUUAACAUAUUUCACAACCAGCCCAGCCUCAGUCUCGCUAACACACAUCUGCUAACCCUGAAGCAAGUUAAUUAAGUUCAUUGGUGAAGGACUUUGUGUCAUCAAAACUCUCAGAAUCAGACAAAUAAACAUCUUCUUAGUCUUAGGUUGAAUAAACUACACUUAACGUUAUGACAUAAUUCCUGUCACAUAGGACAGGAUGAAUUAAGUGAUAAAUUAAUAUCAUUUAAUUUUUGUAUUGUUGCUUGGAUGCUGUUGCCUCCCAGUCUUAAUUCUCUCUUGCAAGAAAGGCCUGGGUACCUAGACAGCAGCUGAGAGAAAUCUGAUGCACUGGGCUUACUAGAUGCUAAGAACAAUUUUAACCUCCUAUCAAGUUUUCCCAGGUACAUCCACUUUACUGUGAAACCAUUACCACCACCUAAUGUGAUCUUCCAAGUAUAAUUUUUAGAUAGGGUAGUAUCAGAACCUCCUGUGACUAAAUCACUAAAAUUGACCUAGGUAAUAUAUGCCAUUGUCAUUUAAGUUCCUUCAGUUUGGAUCUGACUGAUCUGAUAGCUAAAAUUAGUGCAGCUAGUCAUAGGAGAGUGAAUCACCCAUCUUUCUAUUACUAUUUUUCUCUCUGACUCUGUAGGUGCAAAAUAGGACGCAGUCUCUAAACUCUAUCAAUAAAAUUCUCACCAAAAUGGAAUUAAAUCAGGAGACACCAAUUUUCCUAGAGUAGUCUGAGUCUUUGUGUACCAGAAAAUAGCAAUUUAAAACUCUAGCAUCUCUUAAAGAUUUAAGAAUAUUUCUAUGGUGCAAAUAUAUAUGUUCUCCCAAAAUUUAUAUGUCAAAAUCUAAUACUCAGAAGUCUUCAGUCUCCUGGUUUCUGGUCAUAGCAUUAAGAAGUGGGUAUUCAAGAUGUGGUCAUGUUAGCGGCUGUGCCCUCAGGAGUAAGAUAAUGUAAAGAACCCUGAGAAAGGCUCCUGGUCCCUUCCAUCAUGAGAGAUUUCAGCAACAAGGCACCAUCCUGCAAUAGAGAGAUACAUAUUCUGCUGCUGCCUGGUUCUUAGACUUCCCAGCCUCUAGGGCUGUGAACAAUACAUUUCUGCAAUAUAUCAAUUGACCAAUCUAAGUCUACAUUGUUAUUGCAGCACAAAUGGACUAAUAAAUAUCAUGUUUGUUCAAAUAAGCAAAAUAAUUAUUAUUAUCAGAGUAAUAACACUAGAGUUCCAAGAUAUUGUACAAAAUCUUAAGGAACUUUCUCAACGGUAAAUUCCUAAGAAACUUUUCAGAGAAAUCAGAAAAUAAGAGUUGCAUCCUUAAUACUUGAAGGAUUUUUCUUUUGUGGUCAACUAUUAUAUUCCACCAUAGACUUCUUUUUCUUCCCCAUGAAUCUAUAACUUGAUGAAACUUUCAAUAAUCAAAUAAUAAUAGUUCUUCCUGGGUUACUUUAUGAGCUUUAGAUUUUAUAAAGCACAUGCAUACUCUUUAUCUCAUAGCCUGAUAAGAGUCUAAUAGUAGUAAGAUACCAUGACUGAUUAUGGUUCAGGACCAAAGUGAUAUUACUCAUGAAUUCAACCAAGUCAGUGAAAUGAUAAUUCUGACUUGUGCUAGACAGAAUAUGGAUAACUGAAACAGGCUUUAAAAUUGCAGUUGAACUGUGGCUUGAUUCCUUGCAGACUAUAAGAUAUUUAGAGAUACUCUAACAAAAAGUCUUCCAAGGUCAAAUAUGUUUGAAAAAUGCUCCUUCAUGCUUGAAGAUUUGCAAUGGAUAUUAGCCUACUUAUUUAAUGACUCUUCAACAAAGUAAGCUAUGUCUGGCCCAAGAGUUCUCAGCACUAUCUGAGUAUGAAAUUUUUUCCUUACUUUGAAAGCCCUGAAAUCCUCUAAGGUUAACCGAAUGAACACCAAGCAAGAAGUCAUGUGGAAGUAAAAUCUAGUGUGUUCUUGUAAGACUUUACUCAAGCACAGAAGCGGACUUAGAAUGACAGAAGGUUGUGGGCAGUGUGUUACAGUAUGGAUGCCAACUGGUCCUGAAAGGCUCAUGUUUACACACUUGAUCUGAAAGGUCAUGCUAAGAGGAGACAGUGGAACACUGGACCCUAAUUGAAAGUUCUUAAAUCAUUUGAGGUAUUCCCUGAAAUGGAAUUGUGGGGCCCCAGCCUCGUUUCCUUCUUUUGUUUUUGCUGUGCUCUGCAUUCCUGCCAUGGUGUGUAGGCCAGGCCCAAAGCAGCAAGGAGCACUGACCAUAGAUUGGAAUCACCAAAACUGUGAGCCCAAAUUAACCUUUUCUCUUUAUAAAUUAACUAUCUCAGACAUUUUUUAUAAUGGUGCAAAGCUGACUAACACAAGAUGGUUACAGAACCAAGAGAUGUUAUGACCCCCGAAACUCACCCUUCUCUCUCUUCUACAGUUAAGUCUGUUGAAAUAAACUCAGAGUUGCAUUUUUCUCAGAUUAAGGAAAUUGGUAGAGCCAAAAUAAGCAAAACUCCAAAGGUAAAUGCAAAAAAAAUCUAUGAGUCCACUGGUGCUCUGUACCUAAAGCAAGAAUUCCACUUAAUCACUUCUGUAAGUAGGUGUUUGAAACUACUUUAUCUUCCCCGGAGUGUAAGAAACAGUUUUGCUAACUGCAUAUUCAGGAGAUGUAAUUUAUAAGCUAUUUCAGAAGUCAUGAACAGAUUAUACCCAGAGGAAGGUACAGUGUUUUAAGUGCAAAGAAAUUCCACUCUUAAGUGAAAGGAAAAAGCAGAUAAUGAGAGCCUUAGAGUCUAUUAACAAAAUGCAUUAAGUGCAUGAGGACCGCAGGUGAUGGCUAAUGUCUAUCUAAGCACUGACGUUUUAAUAUUUGAGCUAGUUAGGUUCUUUCUCAUGUCACUCCCCCACAAUUGACCUUGACUUUGUUGUUGACCUAACCUGAACCUUGCAUUCUUUUGCUAAGUCAAAGGACUUAGCAAUAGGGAUUUAUAAAGGAAAGACAAGCCUCUGAAUGCCUCUGAUACUGGUGGCAGUAUGAUUACUUUCCUGUUGGGAAUUUUGAAUCUGAAACAAACCUACAUGGCAGGUAAUUUGCAAAUCUAUAGAGCAAUUUGUGUGCAAAGCACAGAGGGCAAAUGGUAGACAUGGAACCAGCUCACAGUAUUCAAAAAGUCAAACUGUUAAUACAAAUUUACCUGGAUAAAUCUGAAAAUACAUCGAACAUAUAAUGGUAGGAUAUUAAUCCCUUUAGACAUAAACAAUUUAGAGAGGAGUGAGAAAGUAAAGAAGCGUGGAAAAUGUACUCCUAACACAUUUCUAGAAAGUAUGAAAGACAUUUAGAUUUAUAAAAGGUAAUGAAUUAAUGGACAUGCUAAUGACAACAUAGUCCAAAGGUCAAAUAGUUGCAAACAAAAUGAGUCCUUUCAGUCCUAUGAAUGCAGGAUGGCUACUUUUAUUUCAGCAAAGACAAAAGCAAUUAAAUUUUGCCUCUUUGAAAACAGAAGGUCACAUUUGAAUACACAGUAUAAUAAUGUUAGCCAUAUGAAAGUAGCUGAGAGAUUUGUAGUGAAAUUCACAGUUCUGUUAGACACUGUGUAUUUUGAUGACAGGUGUCUCCUUGUUUUCUUUUUAGUAACUGUUUUCAUAUGUAGGAAGGCCAGAAUACCACACGGUGAUCAAUUACCACCCCUUAAAAAUCAGUGAAGUAGAUGACCUCUCUAAUUUUUGCAAGAAAGUCUUUCUUCUCUAAAUUAUUUCCUCUCAUUCUCUGACUAAUGUUUUUAAUUCUACAAGUAGAAAUCACCUUGGUGUACGGCACUGAUUCUUAUGAAAAAGUAAAUAGGACAUCUAUUGCUGUCUAUUAAAACUUUUAUUCAAAAAAUAAGUUAAUGUACUACAGUAAUUAGAUUCAGUUACUAAGUCUCAGGAGAAUGAUGGCAAGAUCUCUUCCUAAAAUCAGGUGUUUUGGGAGGGAACAAAGUGAUCCUGGGCACAGUGAAUGCUAAGCAGCUCCCAGAACUAGGAGGGGACAUUUAAGACCGGCAUUCCUAGUUAAUAGCAUUUUUUCAGUAAUGCUUAUGAAAAAUAUUCUUUGUCCACUCCUUUUAAAAGUUAACUCUAAAAAAGACUCUGGGGUAUGUUUUUGUUUUUAGAGCUGUCAUUCUCAAACUUCUCAAAGAGAAGCAGUAUUCUUUUCUAAGAAACUCUUUAGAUUCCCAUUAAUAUAACUUCCUACCUGAGGCUUUCUGUUCUUCUUCAACACUGCUAUUCAUUCAACAAACUUUAAAGGAUAGUAAGUCACUACUGCAAUUUUCUCCCCAAAGCAUGGACGAUGAUGGAGAGAAAAAUUCAUAGCAAUGCACUGUGACCUUUAUAGUUCCAAUACAUAGUUUUCUCUUAAAAUCAUCAUUUUUAAGUUUUGAAUUUUUAUUAAUUUUUUGCAUGAGAAUUGCACUAGGUUAAUUAAAUACUUGCAACUUAAACAAAAGUAUGGAGAUUUUCUCAGAACCCUGUGAACUUUUCGUGUUUAUUGCCAAAUCAGCCAAAAGCAAAUAAACAUCAUUCUAAGGAAUUUAUUUUGAGAUUUAAUUGUAUACAGACUUGCACAUAAUCUCAACUUCACAAUGAGUUGUCCCAUGAACAAGGUUUAUGAAAACAAGUUUUGGAAGACUAAGAGAACCUUCUUGCCUUCUAGGUGGAUCCAGUUCCCUCUGGAAGGGUGUCACACACUUCAGUUCUUCAUGUGAGAUGCAAGGCAGGCUGAGACCAGGACACCCAUGAGUACUCUUGCUGAGGUUCCUGGGCUAUAACUCAUUUAACAAAUGUGGUUUCCAUUUAUGGAACUGCUUAGCAACUGUGCUGCAUUUUUUUUUUUUAUUUUUAAAGUGCCAACAAUUACAGGAUUGAGCACUAGUAAAUUUGAGUUCUACUUGAUUGAACAAACUAGGGCCUAGGUAAUUGCAUAACCAAAACCAUUCACUGGACCAGAGCUAAAACAAUUUGCCACAGCUCUAAGGGACCCAGCAUCAAUAAAAUUCAAAGCCACACAAUUUGCCACCCAGACUUUGGUCAGUGUCCAGCAAAGAGCCCUGGUGCCUGAAGUGCUCUGGCUGGUGAACAGCAAAAACACCAAGAUACCUUGUGACUAAGUAAAACUAACCGGCAAAUAGAGAAUCAUUUCAAUGAUAUUUGAAAACCAAUUGCUGAAUAUCCUGAAUCACCAGAGAUCAUCUGGUAAAACUUAACUCCUAGAGAGAGAAAAUUUAUGGUGCUUUUAAGAGUCGUGUUAUUUUUAAAAAUUUAUUAGUAAUAUAAUUUUACAGAUCUUAUUUUUCUGUUUCUCGUGGGACAAGAUUUCUUUAACUGUCCUUUGGAAUGUAUUUGGGUAUAAGCUGAUGGAAAAGGGAGGAAAAGAAUAAAGGAGGUGUAGGAGAACAUAAGGAAGAGAAAGAAAACAGGGAGGAGAAAUAAAGGGCAGAAGGAAGAGAGCAACAGCAACAGCAGUUAUGGCAGAUGAGGAAAAGUGUAACAUGUCCCCAGAGUGUCCCUACAGUCCCAGCCCACUGACACUGGGAUAGGGAUGUGGCAGUGUUUUAUUUGGGCUCUUCCAUUUGUUAGGCCUGCACAAACAUUAGAGGGAGGAAUCCAAAGGUGGAAUACUCUCUAAAACUUAAGAGUACUGUAUAAUUUCUCAGAGGUUUGUGGGAGCCACGGGUAGUAAUUGGGAUAUUCUAAUACUAACAAGAGAAGAGAGUGAUUUGGCAGAUAUAGAAUUUGAUCUUUUGACUCUUCCUCAGUGAAGACGCAGGUGAAUCUCUAGGCGAUUUGCUCCCUAUAUUUUCAAGGACUUUCUCAUAAAUUUCAUAUUCAGGCUUAUGUUAGUGAACAGUCUCUGACAUUUUGAGUCCUUAAAAAAAUGCUCUUCAGGAUGAUAUUUCUGCUAAAUCACUAAUGCAUAUUAGAAAAAAACUUCCCUAAAGACAUCCCGAGUGGCAAGGAGGUGUAAAACAUGGCUCUGCAGUCUCUUUUCUUGCUCUAAUUUUUCUCAUUUCCUGGUUUCAGACAUUUAUCUUUCCUUCUCUCUGCUUAACUGAAUCACUCUAUUUAUUCACUUGGCAACAAACAUAUUGAGUACCAAUAGUUACUGGCUGGAAUUUUUUCUUGUUUUGAUAUGUAAAGAUGAUGACAGUUAUUGUUGCAUCAAGAGCUAACAUUUAUUUUAAAAUGAGUUUUAGUUUUAAGAGUAGUUUUUGACUUACAACAAAGUUGAUUGGAAGACUUAGAAAUUGUACUUGUAUCCCUAGCCUCAGAUAAACCCUUCCCCCAUCAAAAGCUGGCACAUUUGUAUAAUCAGUGAGGCUGAAUUGCUAUAUCAUUUCCUUCAAAGUGCAUAGUUGACAUUCAGGUUCACUCCUGGUAUGCUCUGGCUUACCCUUAUAGUGUAGUAUGCUUUAUAGGUUUUGACAUGUAUCAGUUGUUGUAUCAAACAACAUAGAUGAUUUACUGUUCUAUAAUCCUCUAUACUGUUCUAUAAUCCUCUACAUUUUCCCUCUCUCCAGCUCCUAGCAACCAAUUAUUUUUUAUGGGCUUCAUGGUUUUGCCUUUCCCAGAAUGUUAUAUUUGAAAACAUACAAUAUGUAGCCUUUUCUGAUUGAAUUCUUUCAUCUUGUAAUACCUAUUUGUUUCCUUCGCCUUAACAGCUCACUUGCUUUUAGUACUGUCUAAUAUUCCGUUGUCUGGGUAUGGCAUGGUGUUUUGAUCUAUUCAAAGAAGGACACAUUGGUUUGUGUCUUUUCAAGCUUUGAAAAUUGUGAAUAAAGUAGCUUUAAAUAUCCAUGUUCAGCUUUUGUGUGGAUAUGUUUUCAGUACAUUUGAGUAAAUACUAAGGAGGAUGAUUCAGGGAUCCUAGUUUACUUUGCCAAACUUUCAAAGUGACUCUACAAACUGGGCAGAGAGUUCCCAUUGUUCCACACCCUCACCCUUUUUUGGUGUUGUCAGUGCUCUGAAUUUUGGCUGUACUAUUAGGUAUUUAGUGGUACCUCAUUGUUGCAUUAAUGUUAAGUUCCCUAGUGGCUACAUAACAGUGAAAAUAAUUUCAUGUGCUUACUUGCCAUUUGUAUAUUAUCUUUGGUAAACUUUCUUUCCAGAUCAUUUACCUAUUUUAAAACCAGAUUAUUUAUUCUAUUAUUGUUGAGUUUUAAGAAUUAUACAUUUAAUUUUAUCGACAAAUUUAUCUUUUAUUUUUUAAUUUUAAUUUUCAUCAGUACAUGUUUGCAACACGUAAUGAUUAUAUUACUUGUAAAGAG